GACCCCUUAGCUCAGUGGUAGAGCGUCGCAUUCCAGCUCCAAUCUUGAGUCUGUGCAUCGCGAAGGCCGUCCGUUCAAUCCGGGCAGGGGUCA
This is a non-coding RNA of Mycena rosella, 93 nucleotides long. NCBI's taxonomy places the organism in Eukaryota, Fungi, Basidiomycota, Agaricomycetes, Agaricales, Mycenaceae. The record is from the annotation of a GenBank genome assembly.